CUACGGGCCGCACCAGUGAGGAAUAUUGCACAAUGGGGGGAACCCUGAUGCAGCAACGCCGCGUGGAGGAUGACGCAUUUCGGUGUGUAAACUCCUUUUAUAUGUCAAGAAAAUGACGGUAGCAUAUGAAUAAGCACCGGCUAACUCCGUGCCAGCAGCCGCGGUAAUACGGAGGGCGCAAGCGUUACUCGGAAUCACUGGGCGGAAAGGACGCGUAGGCGGGUUGGAAAGUCAGGUGUGAAAUCCUACAGCUUAACUGUAGAACUGCACUUGAAACUUCUAAUCUAGAGUAUGGGAGGGGGAGAUGGAAUUAGUGGUGUAGGGGUAAAAUCCGUAGAUAUCACUAGGAAUACCUAAAGCGAAGGCGAUCUCCUGGAACAUUACUGACGCUAAGGCGUGAAAGCGUGGGGAGCAAACAGGAUUAGAUACCCGCGUAGUC
RNAcentral lists this ribosomal RNA (439 nucleotides) under uncultured bacterium. Its description in RNAcentral is "partial 16S ribosomal RNA". It matches the Rfam family "Bacterial small subunit ribosomal RNA", at positions 339 to 795 of the family's 1533-position model. The record is from RNAcentral.